CUGAAGAGUUUGAUCAUGGCUCAGAUUGAACGCUGGCGGCAGGCUUAACACAUGCAAGUCGAACGAACUCUUCGGAGUUAGUGGCAGACGGGUGAGUAACGCGUGGGAACGUGCCCUUCUCUAAGGAAUAGCCACUGGAAACGGUGAGUAAUACCUUAUACGCCCUUCGGGGGAAAGAUUUAUCGGAGAAGGAUCGGCCCGCGUUGGAUUAGGUAGUUGGUGGGGUAAUGGCCUACCAAGGCGACGAUCCAUAGCUGGUCUGAGAGGAUGAUCAGCCACACUGGGACUGAGACACGGACCAGACUCCUACGGGAGGCAGCAGUGGGGAAUCUUGGACAAUGGGGGCAACCCUGAUCCAGCCAUGCCGCGUGGGUGAAGAAGGCCUUAGGGUUGUAAAGCCCUUUCAGUCGUGACGAUGAUGACGGUAGCGACAGAAGAAGCCCCGGCUAACUCCGUGCCAGCAGCCGCGGUAAUACGGAGGGUGCAAGCGUU
This 492-nucleotide ribosomal RNA is filed under the name Symbiodinium sp. Mp. Its description in RNAcentral is "partial Bacterial small subunit ribosomal RNA". It matches the Rfam family "Bacterial small subunit ribosomal RNA", at positions 1 to 542 of the family's 1533-position model. Lineage: Eukaryota; Dinophyceae; Suessiales; Symbiodiniaceae. The record is from RNAcentral.